Long non-coding RNA from Capra hircus (goat), 3557 nucleotides. The record is from Ensembl. Lineage: Eukaryota; Metazoa; Chordata; Mammalia; Artiodactyla; Bovidae.
AAAUGGAACACGUUACACUUUUAUAAACAGUGUUCAACUGAAUGAAACGGGGCUGGGUCUGUUCUGAGGCCACCCACUUGCUCUCAGUGACAGACAGUAAAACACAUUUUGCCAAAGUGAACUAAUAACUUCUGAGUGCUGAGUGUGUCCUGUGUUCCGCUGCCAUCCUAGGGCCCCUCCAGAUGUGAGCUCACUAAACCUCGCAACAAUGCAGAGAUGGGUGAUGUUGGCCCUGUUUUGACAGAUAAGGAACCUGAGAUUGGGGGAAAUCGGCUUAAAAGGGUCAGCAUUUCCGUGGGCAACAUCUGGUCUUGGAAGGAAUAAGCUGCUGACCCAGAAGCCAUAGGCUUUGAUGAAUGGGGCCUCAUGUAAGAGAUGGUUGGAACAUGCUCAAGCCUCAGUCUCCUUACCAUGGAUGGAAUUGUGACACACACCUUCCCCUCAAAAAAAAAGAGCGAGAUGCUGAAUUCCUAACCCUGGUACUUGGGAAUGUGACCAUAUUUGAAAACAGAGUCAUUGCAGAUGUUAUCAGGGGCUUCCCAGGCUCAGUGGCAAAGAAUCCACCUGCCAAUGCAGGAGACACAGAAGACGGGGGUUCAACCCCUGGGUGGAGAAGAUCCCCUGGAGUAGGAAAUGGCAACUCACUCCCAGUAUUCUUGCCUGGAGAAUCCUACGGACAGAGGAGCCUGGCGAGCUAUAGUUCACAAGGUCGUAAAGAGUCAGAUACGAUUGAGCAGCUGGGCAUGACACACAGAUGUUGACAAGUUAAGACAAAGACAUCCUGUAUUAGGGGGGGGCCGGUGAUCCAGGGGCUGGUGUCCUUAUAAGGAGGUCAUACGAAGACACAGGGACACAGAGACGUGGGAGAAUGUCACAUGAAGACAGAGGUGGAUACGGAAGUGACGCAGCCACAUGCAAGGAAUGCCAAGGCUCCAGAAGCCAGGAGAGAGGUAGGGAAUGGAUUCUCUUGCAGAGCUGCCAGGAAGAGCUGGCCCUGCUGGCCCUGCUGACCCCUGGAUUUCUGACUUCUAGUCUCCAGAGCUGUGAGAGAUUUCUGGUGUGUUAAGCCACCCAGUUUCUUGUAUUUUGCUAGGCAGCAGUAGGAAAUUAAUAGACUCCCUCUCGGCUGAACUGGACCCUUGCCAUCCUGAGCCUACUCCUUCUAAAAGACAGAUCAGUUCUCUUCCUAUUGAUGUCCCCUUCUGCAGCCACCCUGGGACAUAACUUCCUUUCCAGCCUCCAAUUUUGAGGAUAUUUUAUGCCCUCUUACAUUCUAUUGUCUUUGAGAAUUUAUAUAUAUAUAUAUUUUUUUUUUUUUAAGAAAUGCAACAUUACUAUUUCUAACCACACUUAAUAGCAUUAAAUAAGUCAAUAAAAUAUUAAACAAAAGUGCUCAUUUUAUAAUUAUCUCAAUUAGCAAAAACAGCAAAACAACCAAAAAAAGUAGGAAAUGAUUAAAUAAAUUGUGACAAGUCACUCUGGAAUUCUAGGCUGCCAUUUCAAAGGAUAAUAUGCAAAUUAUGUUAGGCAUUUGGAAACACAUUUUGAAGUUUAUGUUAAGUGGCUAGAGCAGAAUACACUGGUGUUCCUGGAUGAAAAUGUGUUUGCAUGCGGACAACAGCUUGAGGGGGCAUCACAGGGAGAAGAGAACGUGAGUCCUGACUUAUCCCCAAUCUGCUCUUGAGGAUUUAGGUAUUCUCUGAGGCCAUAUAUAUUUUCUCUCCUGACACCCUCGAUUUCCUUCUGGGUCCUCAACAGCAGGUUAACAUCCUUACUUACAGACUGUUCAAGGAACGGUAGGCUUUUUCUAUCAUGUUCCUUAAAAUUCUUCCAGCCUCUUUCCAUUUCCCAAGAAUGUUUAAAUCUUUAAAAAUUUCCAAAAAAUUUUUUUUCCUUUGUUAUUUUAUUAAUGGAAUUCCCAGAAGGAUGUGGAAUAAACUAGGGAGGUCAAUCUGCCAUUGUUAAUUGGCAAGAUCAACUCCAUUGCAGAUCAAAGUGUUUGGUCAAGGACAACUUGACAUAAAAUCUUUCUGAGAAAGUAUGUCUCUGGUAACCAGCUAAACAGAACCUAUUAGCUCAUUCAGCGCUCCAGGAACUGCUUUCUCUAGAAUCUCUACUCAGCUCCUUGUAUCCUCCUCUCUGAAGAACUCAAGAGUUUUAUUUUGUAAAUGGGAGGUUUCUGAGGUACAGUACUGCUGGACAAAAAUGGAAUCGCCUUUCACUUCCUUGGGGCAGUGUGGUGGGAAAGAGCCCCCAAAUAAGGCCGAGAGGACUUGGCUUUCAAAUUUUGGCUCUGCUGUGUACUAACCACUUCACUCCGGUUAAGUCCGUUAGUUUCUGUAGGUUUUCAUUUCCUCAUAUAUAAAACUAAGACCAUAGAUAUUAUAGGAUCCAGAAUGAAGUAUUUUCUUCCUUCACAGAGUUGGGGUCAACUUACAAUGCUUGUAAACUUUAAAAUUUAAGCAAGCCCUUACCCAGGGCCCACUAGAGCCAGCAUUCAGCAGGUGUCUGCUUGCUGAGACAGUGUAUACAGGGACAGCUUUGUAUCUUUCUGGGCUGUAAUACUGAAAUUCUUUUCCUAAAGCUCAGUCUGAUAGACGUCUUUGACUUUGUUUAGACACUGCCUAACAGACUCAACACUUUAAAUCAUCAUCUACAGUGAAAAGCAGUGAGCACAGUGGUUGGGCUGCCGUGUUCACUGUGCGUGAGGUUGAGAGCCUGGCUCCCUCUGGCCACACUGUCAUUUAGCAUCUGCUUGCUAAGGUGAGGCAAUGUGCCUUGAGUGAUUUAUUUCAUAUUUUCCAGCUGCACCUCUGAUAACUAAAUAUAAGAGUAGUGAUAGCUGAGGAUCCAGAUAUUGCCUCCUUGAAUUCUCUUAGGAAACAUUUCAAAUAAUAUAGAGGAUUCUGUCUGGCAACAGCAUAAUGAGAAUGCUUUAUGUUUCUUUCAUGCCUCACUUCCCAGGAGCAAAAACAAUGCUGACCCUUCAAAUGAACAUUAAAUUGCAGAAAUUUUGGAGAGGCACCCUUAGAAUGCAAAGAGGACUUGAUUCAUUUCCUAGUAAAAAAUGAAAGUUUUCUUCUCUUUCUCCCUCUUUCCCACCCCACCCUUUUUUCUUUCCCUCCUCCCUCCUUCACUCCCUCCCUCUCUCCUUUCCUCCCUUUCUUCCUUCUUUCCAUUUUCUUCUUAAGAGAAGAGAGGCCAUGAAGAGGUAAAUCAGCAUUUAAAACAUGCUUUCUAGAGGAACUGGAAAGUAACUUAAGACAACAUUCCAAGCCUUGUAUGGACUUGGGGGUCAAGUGAUUUUUAGCUUCAUAAGUUCAAAGCAGAAACACUUUUAAAAAGAGUUAUUUAUGCUGGUCAGCUGGAUAGGGAGAAUUAGAUCUUAUCUUAAAUUCUACCCUCCAAAAGCCUUAUUAGGGAGUGUAUUAGAACUGGUUUUUUUUUUUAAACCAGAUUCCAGCAUUUUAAUAUAGAUUCAUGAUGGCAGUUUGGGGCUCAUAAAAUACAUAUGAAUAGAAAUUGAGUCCUACUGUAUAAAUAAAAGGUUUUUAAAA